GAUGAACGCUGGCGGCGUGCCUAACACAUGCAAGUCGAGCGAGAAGUAAAGAAAUGAAGCUUCGGUAGAUUUUCAUUAUGGAAAGCGGCGGACGGGUGAGUAACGCGUAGGCAACCUGCCCUGUACAGGGGGAUAGCCACCCGAAAAGGUGAUUAAUACCCCAUGAUGCAAGAGAUACACAUGUAUCACUUGUCAAAGAUUUAUCGGUAUGGGAUGGGCCUGCGUCUGAUUAGCUAGUUGGUAGGGUAACGGCUUACCAAGGCAACGAUCAGUAGCCGACCUGAGAGGGUGAUCGGCCACAUUGGAACUGAGACACGGUCCAA
RNAcentral lists this ribosomal RNA (323 nucleotides) under uncultured bacterium. RNAcentral describes it as "bacterial SSU rRNA". It matches the Rfam family "Bacterial small subunit ribosomal RNA", at positions 28 to 334 of the family's 1533-position model. The record is from RNAcentral.